CUGCGAAUGGCUCAUUAAAUCAGUUAUCGUUUAUUUGAUAGUACCUUACUACUUGGAUAACCGUGGUAAUUCUAGAGCUAAUACAUGCUAAAAACCCCAACUUCGGGAGGGGUGUAUUUAUUAGAUAAAAAACCAAUGCCCUUCGGGGCUCUUUGGUGAUUCAUGAUAACUUAACGGAUCGCAUGGCCUUGCGCCGGCGACGGUUCAUUCAAAUUUCUGCCCUAUCAACUUUCGAUGGUAAGGUAUUGGCUUACCAUGGUUUCAACGGGUAACGGGGAAUUAGGGUUCGAUUCCGGAGAGGGAGCCUGAGAAACGGCUACCACAUCCAAGGAAGGCAGCAGGCGCGCAAAUUACCCAAUCCCGACUCGGGGAGGUAGUGACAAUAAAUACUGAUACAGGGCUCUUUUGGGUCUUGUAAUCGGAAUGAGUACAAUUUAAACCCCUUAACGAGGAACAAUUGGAGGGCAAGUCUGGUGCCAGCAGCCGCGGUAAUUCCAGCUCCAAUAGCGUAUAUUAAAGUUGUUGCAGUUAAAAAGCUCGUAGUUGAACCUUGGGCCUGGCUGGCCGGUCCGCCUCACCGCGUGUACUGGUCCGGCCGGGCCUUUCCUUCUGGAGAGCCGCAUGCCCUUUACUGGGUGUGUCGGGGAACCAGGACUUUUACUUUGAAAAAAUUAGAGUGUUCAAAGCAGGCCUUUGCUCGAAUACGUUAGCAUGGAAUAAUAGAAUAGGAUGUGCGGUCCUAUUUUGUUGGUUUCUAGGACCGCCGUAAUGAUUAAUAGGGAUAGUCGGGGGCAUCAGUAUUCAAUUGUCAGAGGUGAAAUUCUUGGAUUUAUUGAAGACUAACUACUGCGAAAGCAUUUGCCAAGGAUGUUUUCAUUAAUCAGUGAACGAAAGUUAGGGGAUCGAAGACGAUCAGAUACCGUCGUAGUCUUAACCGUAAACUAUGCCGACUAGGGAUCGGGCGAUGUU
This 969-nucleotide ribosomal RNA is filed under the name Aquasubmersa mircensis. RNAcentral describes it as "SSU rRNA". It matches the Rfam family "Eukaryotic small subunit ribosomal RNA", at positions 87 to 1064 of the family's 1831-position model. The record is from RNAcentral. Lineage: Eukaryota; Fungi; Ascomycota; Dothideomycetes; Pleosporales.